Molecule: ribosomal RNA, 398 nt
Filed under: uncultured bacterium
Lineage: Bacteria
Description: partial 16S ribosomal RNA
Rfam family: Bacterial small subunit ribosomal RNA
Source: RNAcentral
AAUAUUUCGCAAUGGGGGCAACCCUGACGCAGCGCCGCCGCGUGAACGAUGAAGGCCUUCGGGUCGUAAAGUUCUGUCCUCUGGGAAGAAUAAAUGACGGUACCUCCGGAUGAAGCCCCGGCUACCUACGUUCCCGCAGCCGCGGUAAUACGUAGGGGGCGAGCGUUGUCCGGAAUUAUUGGGCGUAAAGGGGGGGUAGGCGGCCUUUUAAGUCAGAUGUGAAAGCCCACGGCUUAACCGGGGGAAUGCAUUUGAAACUGGAGGGCUUGAGGAUCGGAGAGGGUAGUGGAAUUCCCAGUGUAGCGGUGGAAUGCGUAGAUAUUGGGAGGAACACCAGUGGCGAAGGCGACUACCUGGACGAAAACUGACGCUGAGGCACGAAAGCUAGGGGAGCAAAC